GAGAUGAUUUUGAUGUUCUCUUUGAUGUUAUAAACUUGGAUGUACAAUUAGGAAUCAUUGAUAAAAUGUACAUCAGGCCUGGAUAGGCAGUUAUUUACUAUUCUUACUUUUGAUAUACUAAAGGAAUAAUGCUUUGUAACGGCUUUUGUGUAAGAACUGUAACCUGUGUGGAGUUGUCUCUCUCAGACAAAAAUAACACAUGAUAUAUCACAUAAGGAUGAUUGAACCUGUUGAAUGCAUGAGAGAAUUGUAUUCACAUGGAAGUAUAUACAUGUAUUUGAACUUUACAAUAUACUCAUGUACUGCUGAAUUGCUUAGAAAUCAAGACAUAUGAAAUAUGCUUGGAAAUUGAUCUAUUUACCAAAAAGAAGCCUAUUUGAGUGAGCAAAUAAGAGGUCAGGUCAGGAUAACGCUGACGCCACUUUGAGGGAAAAACAGGUGCUUCCUGCUCAGGUCAGAAUCAGGACACGCUGAGAGUAAAAAUAGGAGGUCAGGUCAGGACAACGCUGAUGUCAUUCUGAGUGGUAAACGGGAAACAGGUGUUUCAGGACAGCGCAAGCAAAAGGAGUAUUUUUAGAAAAAGGGAGUUUCUGGAGAAAACCAAGGUUUUAAAAGCCUCAUGCGAGGGAAGAGCGGGGCUUCCUACCCUGACCAGGACGGGGAGACACACGCUCUUUUCUUUCGCAAUACUAAGGGACACGCUGGCCGGAGGGAUUUAUCAAGCUACUUGGAUAGUGACUCAUUUUUGAAUAUUCCUCCUUAAUUGGCUCCCAUUGAUGUUCCAGGAUGAGGCUAUCUCCUCUGGGCCUCCACCCAGCCAGAUUCUCCUCACCACGCACAUAUGCCACUGAUGUGUCUAAGACCUUUCUCCUCCGGCGUUGCAUGCCUGCAAACCAUGGCCAAGAUACUCCAUGAGCGGAUAUCCUUGAUAGAAUUGGAGGCUAUUGUACAAGACUUCAACAUCAUCAUGUCACAAAGCUCACCUGGACUUCCAGAAUCAGACAUCUUGCACAAACUCAACUCGUAGAUUCCGGUGACACGGUUGCUGUGAACAAGCAGAGCAGAUAAAGCAUAAGUCUGAAUGUAA
Molecule: long non-coding RNA, 1087 nt
Organism: Phyllopteryx taeniolatus (common seadragon)
Lineage: Eukaryota; Metazoa; Chordata; Actinopteri; Syngnathiformes; Syngnathidae
Exons: 2
Source: RefSeq, a predicted model, not a curated record